RNAcentral lists this unclassified non-coding RNA (1038 nucleotides) under Bombyx mandarina (wild silkworm). RNAcentral's name for it is "uncharacterized LOC114243327, transcript variant X1". Lineage: Eukaryota; Metazoa; Arthropoda; Insecta; Lepidoptera; Bombycidae. The record is from RNAcentral.
GCGCCGCGUUUUUCGUUAGUGAGCUUCCAUGUAACCGAGUACUGCGAUACGCUCGAUACCACGCGCCACAAAUAUUGUGAAAGUGCUGCUUGUUGUACGUGAUUUGUAGAAGUGAGAGUACAUUUGCCGCGAACGAGUCGCGAAGAUUAAGAACAAUUUCUAAACUAUCGAAUUCGGGAAUUGUUUUUGAAUUCGUCACAGGAGUGGGUUCAAUGGAAGCGAGGUUCGUAACUUGCCGGAGUUUCCAGCAGAUCAAGCCGCCCGAAAAGACCCUAGCGCCGCAGCCGACGGUGAAGGGCCUACUGUCCAGAUUCGGGAGCCAGGCUCAAGCACUUUUCGCCCCCAAGAAGACACGUUUUGGAUCUUCGGUGGCCAUCCACAAACUCCGCGAGACCAAGUGGUUUAAGCACGAUGAACAGAACAUAUUAUGCGCUGUUCUGGAAUCAGGAUUCAUCCUCGAGGUGCGAGCUCAAGACCCUUUGCCGCCAGAUUCGACUCUCUCACCAGACUACCAUAUGUAUGCCGUCGCCAUGUGGAAGAAGGGUAAAGAAAAAACAAAGAACCCCGAACAGAUAGACGUCUACACGGUACAACAGAAAGGUGUGAGAAAACGUGUGAUAAAAACAACGUUAAGCGCAUUCUGGAAGCAAGACUCUGUUAUACGCAUCAACAACGUGGACGACAAACAGGAGACACCGAACAGCGAAAAAGAUAUCAGAUCUAAGUUGGAUAUGGCAACUAAGUCCAGAUUCGAGAGAAACUGGCAUAAUACCCUGCAUUUCGUCCAUUGGUGCCGUUACGGUGAGACGCCGCAAGAAGCUCGCAUGAGACAGAUCAGCUUAACGACGUCGAAAACACCUAUGAUUAUCAUCUUUUGAUGGUAACUCUUGAGGCGCUUUGGACCCUUACAGCUGACAACAAGAUACCGAUUAGCGAGUCUCUUAAAUGGGGCAACGUUGGGAUGAACAUGGGCGUGAUGCUCGUCAGCCAACACAACAAAAGGGACAAGGCAAAGUCAGUUUGAGAAAAGCAUUCCAG